UUGGAGGGCAAGUCUGGUGCCAGCAGCCGCGGUAAUUCCAGCUCCAAUAGCGUAUAUUAAAGUUGUUGCAGUUAAAAAGCUCGUAGUUGAAUUUCGGGAUCAAUAUGCCGGUCAUGCCUUGGUAUGCACUGGUAUCUUUGAUUUCUCCCUUCUGACGAACUUUGAUGUCAUUAAUUUGGUGUCAUAGGGAAUCAGGACUGUUACUUUGAAAAAAUUAGAGUGUAUAGAGCAAGCUCACGCUUGAAUACAUUAGCAUGGAAUAAUGAAAUAGGACGUUUGAUUCUAUUUUGUUGGUUUCUAGGAUCGACGUAAUGAUUAAUAGGGAUAGUUGGGGGCAUUAGUAUUUAAUUGUCAGAGGUGAAAUUCUCGGAUUUGUUAAAGACUAACUUAUGCGAAAGCAUUUGCCAAGGAUGUUUUCAUUAAUCAAGAACGAAAGUUAGGGGAUCAAAGACGAUCAGAUACCGUCGUAGUCUUAACCAUAAACUAUGCCGACUAGGGAUCGGAUGAUGUUAAUUUUUUAAUGACUCAUUCGGCGCCUUACGGGAAAC
This 548-nucleotide ribosomal RNA is filed under the name uncultured Glomus. RNAcentral's name for it is "SSU rRNA". It matches the Rfam family "Eukaryotic small subunit ribosomal RNA", at positions 548 to 1098 of the family's 1831-position model. Lineage: Eukaryota; Fungi; Glomeromycota; Glomeromycetes; Glomerales; Glomeraceae. The record is from RNAcentral.